Molecule: ribosomal RNA, 373 nt
Filed under: uncultured organism
Description: partial 16S ribosomal RNA
Rfam family: Bacterial small subunit ribosomal RNA
Source: RNAcentral
GAACCGUACAAACGUUAUUCGGAAUUACUGGGCUUAAAGGGUGCGUAGGCGGCUUGGCAAGUUGGGGCGUGAAAUCCCUCGGGCUCAACCGAGGAAUUGCGCCCAAAACUGCCAGACUUGAGGGAGACAGAGGUGAGUGGAACUUAGGGUGGAGCGGUGAAAUGCGUUGAUAUCCUAAGGAACACCAGUGGCGAAAGCGACUCACUGGGUCUCUCCUGACGCUGAGGCACGAAAGCUAGGGUAGCGAACGGGAUUAGAUACCCCGGUAGUCCUAGCUGUAAACGAUGAGCACUGGGUCGGAGAGCCUUCCAUAGCUUUCCGGCCGCAGCGAAAGUGUUAAGUGCUCCGCCUGGGGAGUAUGGUCGCAAGGCUG